CCUAGGGCGGCUGCAGUGGGGAAUAUUGGACAAUGGGCGAAAGCCUGAUCCAGCCAUGCCGCGUGUGUGAAGAAGGCCUUCGGGUUGUAAAGCACUUUCAGUGGGGAAGAAAGCCUUGGGGCUAAUACCCUCGAGGAAGGACAUCACCCACAGAAGAAGCACCGGCUAACUCCGUGCCAGCAGCCGCGGUAAUACGGAGGGUGCGAGCGUUAAUCGGAAUUACUGGGCGUAAAGCGCGCGUAGGCGGUCUGAUAAGCCGGUUGUGAAAGCCCCGGGCUCAACCUGGGAACGGCAUCCGGAACUGUCAGGCUAGAGUGCAGGAGAGGAAGGUAGAAUUCCCGGUGUAGCGGUGAAAUGCGUAGAGAUCGGGAGGAAUACCAGUGGCGAAGGCGGCCUUCUGGACUGACACUGACGCUGAGGUGCGAAAGCGUGGGUAGCAAACAGGAUUAGAUACCCCGGUAGU
RNAcentral lists this ribosomal RNA (463 nucleotides) under Vreelandella stevensii. RNAcentral's name for it is "partial 16S ribosomal RNA". It matches the Rfam family "Bacterial small subunit ribosomal RNA", at positions 338 to 794 of the family's 1533-position model. Lineage: Bacteria; Pseudomonadati; Pseudomonadota; Gammaproteobacteria; Oceanospirillales; Halomonadaceae. The record is from RNAcentral.